UACGGAGGGGGCUAGCGUUGUUCGGAAUUACUGGGCGUAAAGCGCACGUAGGCGGAUCAGUUAGUCGGGGGUGAAAUCCCGGGGCUCAACCCCGGAACUGCCUUCGAUACUGCUGGUCUGGAGUCCGAGAGAGGUGAGUGGAAUUCCGAGUGUAGAGGUGAAAUUCGUAGAUAUUCGGAAGAACACCAGUGGCGAAGGCGGCUCACUGGACUGGUAUUGACGCUGAGGUGCGAAAGCGUGGGGAGCAAACAGG
Molecule: ribosomal RNA, 253 nt
Filed under: uncultured bacterium
Lineage: Bacteria
Description: partial 16S ribosomal RNA
Rfam family: Bacterial small subunit ribosomal RNA
Source: RNAcentral